AUUGAACGCUGGCGGCAGGCCUAACACAUGCAAGUCGAACGAGUGGCGGACGGGUGCGUAAUGUCUGGGAAACUGCCCGAUGGAGGGGGAUAACUACAGGAAACGGUAGCUAAUACCGCAUACCAUCGGAUGUGCCCAGAUGGGAUUAGCUAGUAGGUGUGGUAACGGCUCACCUAGGCGACGAUCCCUAGCUGGUCUGAGAGGAUUAGCAGCCACACUGGAACUGAGACACGGUCCAGACUCCUACGGGAGGCAGCAGUGGUGAAUAUUGCACAAUGGGUGCAAGCCUGAGGCAGCCAUGCCGCGUGUAUGAAGAAGUCCUUCGGGUUGUAAAGUACUUUCAGCGAGGAGGCGUUACUCGCAGAAGAAGCACCGGCUAACUCCGUGCCAGCCGCCGCGGUAAUUC
RNAcentral lists this ribosomal RNA (406 nucleotides) under uncultured bacterium. RNAcentral's name for it is "partial 16S ribosomal RNA". It matches the Rfam family "Bacterial small subunit ribosomal RNA", at positions 30 to 526 of the family's 1533-position model. The record is from RNAcentral.